UUAUUCUUGACCUCUAAUACAGUACAAGUACUGGUGACAAGGCCUUUUUACCAAUAUACAAAAAAGAACAUAAAAUCUUAUCAAACAUUCAAAACAACAAGGUUAAACUAAACAAAAUCAACUUUUAAGAUACAAUAUAAGCUUAAUAUUGAAAUACUUUCUACUUCUUAUAUCCUUUAUUCCUGCUGGUGUUUGGUUGAAUGCUUCUGUUGCUCGGUAAAUUGGGGAGUUCUGGGCUUUCCUUGUAAACCUGAGUUUUUUCUUUAGGUUAUGGAUGUCCAAAAGUUUAGUGUCCUUAUAUAAUUUUGAUGUAGGCGUUAACAUGCCAUAGUGAAAUAAUAUUUUUAUAGUUCUAUUUUGGAACACUUGUGUUUGAUGCAUUUCCCCAGCAAUUAACGAGGUACCUCAGUCAUUUAUUUCUAAUAUCUAAUAUUCAAUCAUCUAAAGUUUUUGUUUGAAAUUUGCUAUGUUGGUAUAAGAAAUCUGGCGAAAUUUGCAUCAUGUUCUUUUUCAGCAUAUUUAUUUUGUUCCCCUCCUGUGGCGUAUUAAACAAAUGAAAAAUUUGUACAGUUUUGUUGAUCAGUUUCAAGUUUUUUAAUACUUGUAAGUAUGUGAGGGAAAUAAGUGCUUUUUUUUUCUUGAUAUCACUUCUGAUUGCUCCAAUAUGAGAAUUUUGACGAAAAUAAGUAGAAAAGUAUGACCACAUCGAAAAUAUAACAUUUGAAUUACCAGUGAAAGUAGAAUAUCAAACUAGCGUCAAAGAGCACCAAAAACAAGCUCGACUGGGAGAAACAGAUAUCUAGGCUAGUCCAACAUGAUUGGGAUAAGGAACAUAAGAUCAAAUGGGAUGAAGCUUCCAUAAUAUGAAAGGAAGAAAGAUCAAAACGGAGGAAACUCAAAGAAGCAGCCUUCAUGGCCAUCACUCCGAAUCCCAUGAGUAUGCCGUCUCUAGAGAUCAAGGAAGUCUUGGCACCAAUCGUAAGAUCUAAUCUGAGGAAGUUGAAUCAUGUUCAGGUUGGAAGCAUCUCGACACCACAAAAUUAGGAAAGAGUCGAAAAUCGGACGGAUAACUGCGCACACCAUCUGCGCAACCCGAAAAUUCGACUAGUGUAACUUAUAUUGAGCUUAAUGCGUAUAGAUUACUACCUGCUUCUGUAGACUAGUGGUGAGAGUGAAGGGAUUGCAACCGAUACAACUAAAGUUCCAACCCUGAUACUCUCAUACGAACUCGAUAAAAGUAUGGUGCGUACAAGUCCAGACAGACCAAGUUUGGCAAACUGUCCUUCUCAGAACCAAUCAACUGGUCCUCCUCAGGACCACCACCCUGAAGAUGAAUGCUUGCCGAAACGUCGGAAACAUCCAACCUCACAGAUGAUGGAAAUAACCCAAUAAACUAUCUAACAAAUAGUCCAUCAUCAAUAUCUAGACAACAAUUAGAAUAUCAAAAAAAAUCUAAUCUUUUCAUGCAACCGAUCCGACUAGGUUGAAAGGUCGUUUGUAUGUCAAAUAGGUGUAUACGGAUAAGAGCAAGCAGUUUGAUGAAUUUAUGUGUGUAGGCUUCUGGUGAAAAAUCGAUAAUACCACGUUUGGAAGUCUGGAAUUUUCUAACAAUGUUAAACAGUCCAAGAAAAUAUUUAGCAUUAUAUGAAGGUCACUUAUGUGGAUUUCAAUUCAUCCAUAA
Harmonia axyridis is the source of this 1681-nucleotide long non-coding RNA. RefSeq lists it as uncharacterized. The transcript has 2 exons. Lineage: Eukaryota; Metazoa; Arthropoda; Insecta; Coleoptera; Coccinellidae. The record is from RefSeq and is a predicted model, not a curated record.